AAGUAUCGUUAUUUGGUGGUCAUUUCUUACUGGAUACCGUGGUAAUUCUAGAGCUAAUACAUGCGCCCAGACCCAACUUCGUGGAAGGGUUGUGUUUAUUAAAUACAGAACCAACCCAGGCCCCGCCUGGUCCUUUGGUGAUUCAUAAUAACCGAACGAAUCGCAUAGCAUUUGCUGGCGAUGAAUCAUUCUUGUUUCUGACCUAUCUUCUUUCGACGGUAGGGUAUUGGCCUACCGUGUCAAUGACGGGUAACGGAUAAUUAUGGUUCUAUUCCGGAGAGGGAGCCUGAAAAACGGCUACCUCUUCUGAGGAAGGCAGCUGGCGCGCUUAUUACCCCCUCCUGACGGGGGGAGGUAGUGACAAGAAAUAACAAUACGGGGCCUCCCCGUCUUGUGGUUGGAAAGAGAAUAAUUUUAACCCCUUUAUGAGUAUCUGGUGGGGGGGGCCGUGCUAGUAUA
This 459-nucleotide ribosomal RNA is filed under the name uncultured marine picoeukaryote. RNAcentral's name for it is "bacterial SSU rRNA". It matches the Rfam family "Eukaryotic small subunit ribosomal RNA", at positions 107 to 574 of the family's 1831-position model. The record is from RNAcentral.